AUUGAAUGGUAGCCCCAGCUCUAGAAAGGAGAUAUUCACUUUUGAUCUGAUCGCGUGUGUCAAAGUUAUGUGAAAAUAAGUGCAAUUAGUGACGCGAAGCUGGAAGAGUUUUUAAAAGAAUAUGAACUGGAAGAUGUUCGGGAUCACCUCGAAACUAAGGAAAAUUUGAAGGAAGCCGUUCCACCUUUGGGUCCUAGGUUAAGAUUUCGAGAGAAGCUGCUGUCUUGGAGAAAAUAAAUACUUGGACCAGAUAUUGAAUCGCAGUUGCGUCUCACAAACAUAACCAAAUCGCUGAAGACGCCGCCUAGGCAAAAGCUUGGGCACUUUAUUGACGGAGACCAAUAGAGGAAAAGCUAUUUUGGAUCAAGGAAUAAAACAGAUGUCUUUAAGCCUGGAUAUGAAGAACGAUCUUAUAAGCAUUAUCCUUGAGGAAAUCGUCUCAACAGGGAUAACUAUCAAAUAUUCCGAUUUUAGUCUGCUGCUGGACGAAAUUUGCUUUUACUUACCUGGCGAAGAGAAAUGCAAGGAUUAAUACUUCAUUUCCCGAGACGGUAAAAAAAAUCGUAUCGCACUUUCGCUAAAGCUUUCUGUUAAUAGAGAUGGUGACAAUUGGGACUUAGUGUGCGAGAAAUGGAAGAACCCUUCCAUCUUCGCCAACAAGAGGUCAAACAACUUGACAGCUAAGAGUUUUUCGCUGUCUGGUCAAAAUUCGCCCAAGCCCAGUCAACUGAAUUGAUUGAAAUUGAUUUUGAAAUGAUGUACCCGAGGAGAAGCUCGUUUUUGUUUUCGAAAUGGGAGACGUUCAAAAAUAAAGUCUUCAAUUUCUAUGACUACAACAUUUCAAAGGAAUCUUGUAAAGGGCUGCUUAAACAAGCAAAAUUAUGAAAGAAAAUUGAUUUCCAGGAUUACUUGAUCAGCAUUCAUCUGUGCGCGGUUUUACCAUCGACUGCGCGCUUGUACAUAUAUGAAAAAAUCAUUCAAGAAUUCAUAUCCCUUUUAAUUCAUGUCUAUACUUAAAAUAAUUCUAAGUCCUAUAUAAGGCUGAUGUAUGUCUAACAUAUAGCGCAAGUUGCAAAACUGUAUGUAUUAUUUCCUUUUUAAGUUUCCAGUAUUAUACAACAAUAGGAAUCAACAAACUCAAUGAUGCGAUACAUU
Drosophila suzukii is the source of this 1155-nucleotide non-coding RNA. The record is from RefSeq and is a predicted model, not a curated record. NCBI's taxonomy places the organism in Eukaryota, Metazoa, Arthropoda, Insecta, Diptera, Drosophilidae.